AGAAUCUCACUUCCAUAACGCUU
Molecule: small nuclear RNA, 23 nt
Filed under: Arabidopsis thaliana (thale cress)
Lineage: Eukaryota; Viridiplantae; Streptophyta; Magnoliopsida; Brassicales; Brassicaceae
Description: snRNA_00609
Source: RNAcentral